RNAcentral lists this ribosomal RNA (407 nucleotides) under uncultured bacterium. Its description in RNAcentral is "partial 16S ribosomal RNA". It matches the Rfam family "Bacterial small subunit ribosomal RNA", at positions 28 to 526 of the family's 1533-position model. The record is from RNAcentral.
GACGAACGCUGGCGGCGUGCCUAAUACAUGCAAGUAGGACGCAGUUGCGAACGGGUGAGUAACGCGUAGGUAACUACCUAUUAGAGGGGGAUAACUAUUGGAAACGAUAGCUAAUACCGCAUACUAGUAGAUGGACCUGCGUUGUAUUAGCUAGUAGGUAGGGUAAUGGCCUACCUAGGCAACGAUUCAUAGCCGACCCUUGAGGGUGAUCGGCCCAACCGGGACUGAGAAAAGGUCCAGACCCCGACCGGAGGCAGCAGUAGGGAAUCUUCGGGAAUUGGGGGAACCCUGACCGAGCAACGCCGCGUGAGUGAAGAAGGUUUUCGGAUCGUAAAGCUCUGUUGUUAAGGAAGCGGUACUUAACCAGAAAGGGACGGCUAACUACGUGCCAGCAGCCGCGGUAAUUC